RNAcentral lists this ribosomal RNA (253 nucleotides) under uncultured bacterium. RNAcentral describes it as "partial 16S ribosomal RNA". It matches the Rfam family "Bacterial small subunit ribosomal RNA", at positions 524 to 776 of the family's 1533-position model. The record is from RNAcentral.
UACAGGGGGGGCAAGCGUUGUUCGGAAUCACUGGGCGUAAAGCGCACGUAGGCGGAUCGUUAAGUCAGGGGUGAAAUCCUGGAGCUCAACUCCAGAACUGCCUUUGAUACUGACGAUCUUGAGUUCGGGAGAGGUGAGUGGAACUGCGAGUGUAGAGGUGAAAUUCGUAGAUAUUCGCAAGAACACCAGUGGCGAAGGCGGCUCACUGGCCCGAUACUGACGCUGAGGCACGAAAGCGUGGGGAGCAAACAGG